Molecule: non-coding RNA, 45 nt
Organism: Schistosoma mansoni
Lineage: Eukaryota; Metazoa; Platyhelminthes; Trematoda; Strigeidida; Schistosomatidae
Source: Rfam
AUCCAGCUGGCGAGUCCUAAACAGAACGAAACGCGCGUCCUGGAU